Molecule: long non-coding RNA, 615 nt
Filed under: Ananas comosus (pineapple)
Lineage: Eukaryota; Viridiplantae; Streptophyta; Magnoliopsida; Poales; Bromeliaceae
Description: long non-coding RNA (ACOM_LNC020155)
Source: RNAcentral
AAAUAUCAGCCGAAGGUGUUUGUUCGGCUCUCUCUUCUGGAAUGUUAGCCGAAGGUAUUUCUUCGGCUUUUGUUGCUGAAAUAUCAACCGAAGGUAUAUCCUCGGUUCUUUCCUCUGAAAUGUCGGGGAUAGAAACACUUCCAGUUCCUUUAGACUGCAGUCUUUUAGCAACUGACUUUCGCCGUUUUGGAUGUGGCAGAGGAGUAGAUUGUGCAGUUUCAAUCGGUCUUUUAUCUAAAGCUGGGACCGAUGAAGAAGUUGGAAUUGACUGUGUAUAAGAUGGAUAAAACUGAGGUAUGAGUUAUGUUUUGAGUUGAGAAGUAAAUCAAAAUAAAAACAAAGGUUAUUACCGAAGGAAAAGGCAAGGCCUAAGAGGUUUCCUCUGGUUCUUCUUUCGGCACAAGUGGAGGAGCGGGAUCAAUUGGAAAAAAGGUAUUGCUAUAUUUGAGAGAUAAAUAAGUAAAAAAUUAUUUUGAUAGAUUUUAAAAAUGAAAGAAAAAUGACUAUAAGCAAAGAGGUGUACCGAGUAGGAGAAUAGUCUGACGGAACGCCUGUAAUGCGGAUCGAUUGAAAAUACGAUCGGCAAAGUGAUCCCAGGUGAUGGUAUAUCGAAAG